CAGAGCGUCCGACCGACCGACCGGCUGGAAGAGGCCAGUUUAACACGCUGGAACUUACAAAAGGCUUUUUAAGAACACACUCAAAUACAGAUGGACAGGUCUUCAUGAAGUUCGGCAGCCUGAACAGGGACCAGGCUUUAACAGAACCUGUAAGACACAGAAGCCCUGCGAUCAGAAAGACUAGACUUCAUGCUCUCAGAGGUGGGAAGUGAGUACCUGUGUCCAGCCUCUGUAAUGCCACUUUACAACUUGCUUUCAUGAGCCGUCGCCUGGAUAGGAGAAUUUGUGUCCCGCUUGUGUCCUGUCUCAGGAGAAAAGGGAGCAGACCAACACAGCCUUUCUUCUGCUUGCAGUUUCUCCAUUGCCUUCAGCUCUAAAGCAAACUUUAAAUCGAAGGUGAUACAUUUUGGUUUCCUCAGAGCCUUUUCAGGGCUGAAAUGUAAAAGGUAACAGAACUGGAGGGCCCUUGAGAUGGCUCAGCCAAUAAAGGCACUUGCUGCCAUGCCUGACAACCUGAGAUCCAUCCCUGGGACUCACAAAGCAGAG
Molecule: long non-coding RNA, 546 nt
Organism: Mastomys coucha (southern multimammate mouse)
Lineage: Eukaryota; Metazoa; Chordata; Mammalia; Rodentia; Muridae
Exons: 3
Source: RefSeq, a predicted model, not a curated record